This is a non-coding RNA of Pelobates cultripes (western spadefoot toad), 229 nucleotides long. Lineage: Eukaryota; Metazoa; Chordata; Amphibia; Anura; Pelobatidae. The record is from the annotation of a GenBank genome assembly.
GGAGGAGAGAAGACAGUGUCAGAAGAAAAAGAAGACUGUGUAAAAUGAAGAAUAAGAAAAGAAGAUUAGAGCAAGAAGGACAAGUGAAGUGAUCCCCCUACUUUAUUCUGGACACCACAUCAUAAGGCUUUGGAACCUGGGACCUUCUCAUCUCCCCAGGUAAAAAAAAAAAUCUCAGUGUUUAUGUGUCUUUUAUUUACUGAGUGUCAGGAAGUACAGAGUGCCAUUG